UAUCAAAGUCAAAUAUUUAACAGACUGACAAAUUGCCUCGGGGGGGAAGUGAUUAACUCAGACAGGUGACCAAGUGCAGCUGAAUCAAGGCAUGUGAUGCACAAUACAACCCAAGCACCAUCGACCAAAAUACCCACAGCUGCCGACAGAAAGGGUCACAAAACCUCUGCUCCUAACUCCAAGGAACAUUUCCUAACAGGAUGAAAGCGCUUCACUUGAUCCUCGGUCUCCUGCUGCUGUCGUGGGAUAUCCAGCCGGUAGAUUCGACCACUGUAACCUGCAAGUUCCUCAGCGGCUCCUGCACCGGCCUGCCUUGCAGCCUUGGCUACAAUGAAGAGAAGAGGUUCUGCGACGACGGGUCCAAUUGCUGUUAUCCAUAACUGCACCAGCCCUGGGGUGGAACAGCUUGACCCCUCCACCAGAGUAUGUUGGCCAAUGGUUCAGCCGCGAAGUACAGGCUGGGCUUUAAAUGGGAACAUCCCUCUCUAGAAUCUGCUUCCAGGGUGUAUAAAUAGUUGGUUGAGCUUAAAAAAUAAACAAUGCAUCGAUAA
Long non-coding RNA from Leucoraja erinaceus (little skate), 551 nucleotides. RefSeq lists it as uncharacterized. The record is from RefSeq and is a predicted model, not a curated record. Lineage: Eukaryota; Metazoa; Chordata; Chondrichthyes; Rajiformes; Rajidae. The transcript has 2 exons.